This 424-nucleotide ribosomal RNA is filed under the name Verrucomicrobiota bacterium. RNAcentral describes it as "Verrucomicrobia bacterium partial 16S ribosomal RNA". It matches the Rfam family "Bacterial small subunit ribosomal RNA", at positions 355 to 776 of the family's 1533-position model. Lineage: Bacteria; Pseudomonadati; Verrucomicrobiota. The record is from RNAcentral.
UGAGGAAUAUUGGUCAAUGGACGCAAGUCUGAACCAGCCAAGUAGCGUGCAGGAUGACGGCCCUAUGGGUUGUAAACUGCUUUUAUAUGGGGAUAAAGUGGGGAACGUGUUCCCUUUUGCAGGUACCAUAUGAAUAAGGACCGGCUAAUUCCGUGCCAGCAGCCGCGGUAAUACGGAAGGUUCGGGCGUUAUCCGGAUUUAUUGGGUUUAAAGGGAGCGUAGGCCGUUUGGUAAGCGUGUUGUGAAAUGUAGGAGCUCAACUUCUAGAUUGCAGCGCGAACUGUCAGACUUGAGUGCGCACAACGUAGGCGGAAUUCAUGGUGUAGCGGUGAAAUACUUAGAUAUCAUGAAGAACGCCGAUUGCGAAGGCAGCUUACGGGAGCGCAACUGACGCUGAAGCUCGAAGGUGCGGGUAUCGAACAGG